GUGUGUAACAACUCACCUGCCGAAUGAAUUAGCCCUGAAAAUGGAUGGCGCUGAAGCGGGUAGCCGACACUAUGCCGUCUGAGCAAAAAAAAAAUGAAAUUGAGUUGAAUUAACGAGAUUCUGAAAAAGGGAACUAUUGCUUGAAAUUGAGUUGAAUUAACGAGAUUCCGAAAAAGUGAACUAUUACGUGAAAAUGAGGUGAAUUUACGAGAUUCCUAAAACACACACAAAAAAUAUGAAAAACAGAUGAGUAGGAGGGAACGUGGCGGUCGUAUUGAAGCGUAUGCGCAAGCAUGCGUGGAACGGCCGCUAGUGCAGAUCUUGGUGGUAGUAGCAAAUAUUCAAAUGAGAACCUUGAAGGGCGAAGCGGGGAAGGGUUCCACGCGAACAUUGAUUGGGCGUGGGUGAGUCGUUCCUAAGCCAAAUGGUAAUUGAUUAGACAAAAUGGCGAAAGGGAAGCAGGUUGAUAUUCCUGCACACGGAUGUGGAUAUGCGGUGACGCACACUGGGGCGGUGAAGUCGUCGGUUGCACUGGGCAGAGAUUUCUUUUCUGUUUGACGGAGCCUGACUGUACGCUAUGGAAUCCGCUUGUCGGGAGAAAUAGGUAUGUCACGGCAAAGCGCCGGGUUUUUUUUCUGGCGUCCAGUUUGCGACUGGCGGACCUUGAAAAACUGUCUGCUGGCAAAACAGAGAUGUUUUGUGUGAAAAAUUCCACGCCGUAACGUACCCAUAACCGCAUCAGGUCCCCAAGGUGAACAGCCUCUGCUCGAUAUGAACAAUGCAGGUGAGGGAAGUCGGCAAAUUGGACCCGUAACUUUGGGAAAAGGGUUGGCUCUAGUGCUGCGUAGGAGUGGUUGCUGGUUGCAGCUGCAAAAUCUGGCUUGAUUUUCUCCGAGGGCUGCGGGUUGCGCGUGCACGUCCCCCCCUUUUUUUUGG
RNAcentral lists this ribosomal RNA (936 nucleotides) under Bostrychia calliptera. RNAcentral describes it as "partial 28S ribosomal RNA". It matches the Rfam family "Eukaryotic large subunit ribosomal RNA", at positions 1278 to 2082 of the family's 3401-position model. Lineage: Eukaryota; Rhodophyta; Florideophyceae; Ceramiales; Rhodomelaceae. The record is from RNAcentral.